Vigna unguiculata (cowpea) is the source of this 1811-nucleotide long non-coding RNA. The record is from RefSeq and is a predicted model, not a curated record. NCBI's taxonomy places the organism in Eukaryota, Viridiplantae, Streptophyta, Magnoliopsida, Fabales, Fabaceae.
UUUUCUCUCACUGUUGUUACUGCACAGCCACACCUGCGCUGCAUUGUUGCAUCUGCUAUUAUUUUAUCGAGGCUUAGAUUGUCGCUGAAGCGAGAAUUUAAUUUGGUAUGCUUCGAUGAAAAAGGAUUGUAUCUUUCACGGGCUUCGAUUCGGUUAAUUUAUCUUUCUCAAGCUGGAGUUCCUUUCGAAUUUCGCAGACGCCAAUGGGCGAACAAGGACGUGAGGAACUUCGCAGGCAGGACUGCGUACGACGUGGCGGCGGAGAACAGGCAUGCGGGCGUGUUCGACGCGCGGGGGCUCGGGGACGGGCUGUGAACGCAGGCGAGGAGGGGGAAGGUGAGGAACAUCCAACGACUGAUUGAGGCGGGCAUGCUAACAUGGCGGAGGUGUUGUUGAAGAAGGGGGCGGAUGUUGAGGCGAGAACUAACAAAGCCGUGACGACGCUGUAGAUUGCGGAGGUGCUGGGUUACGUCGGGAUUACAAGGGUGCUGGUUAGUGGGAGGUCAAGCUAAUGUAGAGAGGAAGCUUUCCUUCGUUCCAGCAAUAGGAUUUCUUGUAGGUUCGUAUGGCCUAACUUGGGCCUGAAGAACUCAAGCAAGAUAUCAAAGCUACCAAUACUAAACAGUCCUUUAACAGAUUCAUCUUCCAUUCCUGGACCUUUUCAGAAGCUAAGGUUUAUUUCUACUAAUGAAUGCAUAAUCUAUGCAAUAGUUAUGUAGAUUUUUCUCUCCGAUUUCAAUCACUUGAAAGCUGUGGACCACUGCUUUCACUUGCAACAUGUAAGACCCAAAAAAUUAAAUAAAUAAGUAAAUAUUUAUUUACAAUAAUUGUGGAUUAGAAGUAUAUCUAAAAGAACUAUUUUGUCAAAUUAUAACAAAGAAUAGUGGUAGCUCAAGUUGUUGAGAGUACUUGGUUAUGUUGGAAAGUCUUGAGUUCGAAUCUUGCAUAUGUCAUUAGUGUGAUAUUCUAAUUAUUUAUUUUAUUUUGCAUAUUGGUCGUGUGAUGUGUUAUUAUAUUUAUGUAUAUGCGUGAAUAUGUCAGGAAAUAUGUAAUGGCUUGUUGAUGGAUGGUCCAUGAACCUAGCCACACUUUAUGGGAGUUAGAGGAGUAGUAUAUUUAUGGGAUUUUAUGGGCAAAAACUCACGUGUUAAUGCCAAUUGAUGACCAGUAAACUUUUAUUUUCGUUUUUAAUUAGUUUAUUAAUUUUUUUUGGCUGAAAAUUAAUUGAAGGGGUUAAUUAGUUAAGAAUUGGGAGAAAAUUCGUGUGGCUAUUAGUACUGAAUUUUUAGAGCACCAAAUUUUUAGAGCAUCAAAAGGAGACCUAAGGAGAGUUUAGAGAGAUAGGAAGGUUCUUGGAGUUAGAGGCAAAGGUUAAAGAUUUUUCUGGGUAAGGAGAAGCAUCUAGGAGGUCAUCUUUAGCGUGAGCAAGGGUGGAGCAGUGGGAAAAGUGGUAAGGGGAGCUUAACUGUGUUUUUUUUUUCUCAACUUUGUGUUCUGUGGUUUUAUUCAACAAGUGUGUACUGUUUUAUUUGGUGUAGUAGUGUCUCUUCUCCAUUUGGUUUCCACUAUUACGUUAGAGGGCAGAGAGAGUUUGUGUAAUCGUGUUUUUGAUGCUGAUGAAAGCAUGUAGAAAGGUCCUGACUGCAACACCAAUGAAAGCAGCGUUAUUCAUUGUUUUUGAUGUCGAUGGAGGUGAUUUCACUGUGUUGUGUUUCAUCAUGACCUAAGUUUGGCUUAGGAUUAAAUGUUAACAUUCUAAAUAAUGAAGAGCAAAAUAUCAAAGUUGGUGUACAUGUCAGAGUAUAAUCAAG